CUUGCAGAGGGGAGGCAUCUCAGGGGAAUCCCACUGGAAGGCCAAGUCCUUUGGCAGGCCAGCCGGAAGGGUUCCUAGAGCUUCCACAUGACCACUCUUACAAAAGGUCCUAGGGCUUCUUUUGAUCUUUGGCCCUUUUGUUUUCUCCCCCCAGAGAGGAAAGGCAGGAGCACCGCAGGCCGUGGCUGUCCACCGUUUUGGAGACCUCCACUGAGUUGGAACCACAGGACCAACCAGUGGAGGAGGAGCUCUCUCCUGGGCAGGACACCUCUUCUCCAGAGGAUUCGCUGACCGUCCUGUUGGGCUCCAGGACCAGCAGCCUCUGUGAGGUGGACUCCCUUGCUGACCUCCUGGAGGAGGAAUCUGAGGAUAGCUGGGACCAGGAUGCAGAGGCCAGCUCCUCUUCCAGUCCAUGGGUAAGAAAGACAAA
Molecule: long non-coding RNA, 430 nt
Organism: Thamnophis elegans (Western terrestrial garter snake)
Lineage: Eukaryota; Metazoa; Chordata; Lepidosauria; Squamata; Natricidae
Exons: 3
Source: RefSeq, a predicted model, not a curated record